GACGAACGCUGGCGGCGUGCUUAACACAUGCAAGUCGAACGGAAAGGCCCUGCUUUUGUGGGGUGCUCGAGUGGCGAACGGGUGAGUAACACGUGAGUAACCUGCCCUUGACUUUGGGAUAACUUCAGGAAACUGGGGCUAAUACCGGAUAGGAGCUCCUGCUGCAUGGUGGGGGUUGGAAAGUUUCGGGGGUUGGGGAUGGACUCGCGGCUUAUCAGCUUGUUGGUGGGGUAGUGGCUUACCAAGGCUUUGACGGGUAGCCGGCCUGAGAGGGUGACCGGGGGCAGGGGGGGAGAGAGAUGGGAGAGAGGCGGAAGGGAGGAAGAGGAGGGGGGGAUGGGGCACGGGGGGCGGGAGUGGGGAAGAGACGCGGCGGGGGGGAGGAGGGGGUGCGGGGGGUAAAAGCAGCUAGCAACCGUCGAAGACCGUGGGUGACGGUAGGGGGAAAAGAAGCACCGGCUAACUACGUG
Molecule: ribosomal RNA, 470 nt
Filed under: uncultured bacterium
Lineage: Bacteria
Description: partial 16S ribosomal RNA
Rfam family: Bacterial small subunit ribosomal RNA (bases 21-328)
Source: RNAcentral